GCCUUCGUAGUGUAGUGGUCAGCACGCUCGACGCGUAACCGAGAGGUCCGUGGUUCGAUUCGCGGCGAAGGUG
RNAcentral lists this transfer RNA (73 nucleotides) under Stegodyphus mimosarum. It matches the Rfam family "tRNA". From Rfam's summary of the family: Transfer RNA (tRNA) molecules are approximately 80 nucleotides in length. Their secondary structure includes four short double-helical elements and three loops (D, anti-codon, and T loops). Further hydrogen bonds mediate the characteristic L-shaped molecular structure. tRNAs have two regions of fundamental functional importance: the anti-codon, which is responsible for specific mRNA codon recognition, and the 3' end, to which the tRNAs corresponding amino acid is attached (by aminoacyl-tRNA synthetases). tRNAs cope with the degeneracy of the genetic code in two manners: having more than one tRNA (with a specific anti-codon) for a particular amino acid; and 'wobble' base-pairing, i.e. permitting non-standard base-pairing at the 3rd anti-codon position. Lineage: Eukaryota; Metazoa; Arthropoda; Arachnida; Araneae; Eresidae. The record is from Rfam by way of RNAcentral.